CAAAGAGUGAGGGUGUUCACCCUUUUGCAGGUGCAGCUGCUGCAGUGGCAAACAGCAUUCAAUCAGCAAAGGAUGCCAUCUCUGGUGGUGCCAAAGAAUCCAAAGAUGAUAAGACCAGUAAAUGAGUGAGUGCAGCCGGUGCACGAUGACAUGAUAUCAUGUAACGUUCGCUUGUUAUUCGACGGAAAUAAAAACUGUAUUAGGAAAUGAAAUGAAGUUCAAGUGCACAUAUAUUUGUGUUUCCUUGUACUUGUUUUGUUAGAAAUUGUGCGAUUGCAAGUUUUUAAGAGAUUUAUCAUCCAUCUCAUUCCUUCGUCAAGCUGUGUGCAUCUCCUUGUUCGUGAGGAGGAUCUUCUGUACGUGACGUUCAUUCAAGAGAAAAUAAAGCACGAUGGAGUAUUGCAAGACAAUAGGAUUUGGUGUAGCUUUGAUUGUGGUGUCUUAUCAAAUUGAGUCUUGUGAAGUCUUGUUUUCUUAGUGGAAUGUGUGUGCUCGUUUUUUAUAUUCAUUUGCUGAAGAGUGUUUCCCUCAUAAAU
Molecule: long non-coding RNA, 536 nt
Filed under: Malus domestica (apple)
Lineage: Eukaryota; Viridiplantae; Streptophyta; Magnoliopsida; Rosales; Rosaceae
Description: long non-coding RNA (MDOM_LNC007347)
Source: RNAcentral